RNAcentral lists this long non-coding RNA (594 nucleotides) under Ictidomys tridecemlineatus (thirteen-lined ground squirrel). Its description in RNAcentral is "lncRNA (ENSSTOG00000032592.1)". Lineage: Eukaryota; Metazoa; Chordata; Mammalia; Rodentia; Sciuridae. The record is from RNAcentral.
CUAAUGCCGGCCAAGUCACGGGGGUUAAGGGUGGUGUACAAACAUGGCUGCUCCCUUUCUAGCCAGACAGCCAAAGGGAGAAGAAGAGGAUAGCUCACCAUCCGGGGCUUGCAUACUUGAACAAGCUCUAAGAGGUCCCAUCUGUAGCAGAGAAGCCAGGAACUCUAUCUCCCAGAAUCCUCUGCUAUGUGGAACACCUGCAGAGACUGCAAGCAAGAGGCCCUUGUGAGUGGUCUGGUGUGCAAGUAGAAGGUAUGCUUUUCCAGAAGGUAUAAGCAGGCAGACAUGGAGGCAGAUAAACAUUCUCUGCAGCUUCACGGUGUGCUUCUAAAUAAUCACCUGCAGCCUGAGCUUCUGCGUGGGAGCUUCCUAGGAGUCUUGAGAUUAGUGUGGCCACAGGAGAAGCACUUGGGAUCCACCCACUUGGUUGCUACAGACUGAAGAUGCAGUUGAAGGGCUACCUCUGUUCCCUCCAAUGGGUUACAUAAACCUUGACUUUCCUGUAUCCAAUACUUAGGUACUUGAUGUACCAAUAACCAAAUUCGUGCCUCUUAGCUGCAAAUUCACUUUUCAACACCUGUACUGUAAUAAUGG